GAUUAUGGCUCAGGACGAACGCUGGCGGCACGCUUAACACAUGCAAGUCGAACGGAGUUAUCGAGAGCUUGCUUUGAUAACUAGUGGCGACGGGUGAGUAACACGUGAGCAAUCUGCCCUUAAGAGGGGGAUAGCAGUUGGAAACGACUGAUAAUACCGCAUAAGAUAGUAGUACCGCAUGGUACAGCUAUAAAGAUUUAUCGCUUAAGGAUGAGCUCGCGUCUGAUUAGCUAGUUGGUGAGGUAACGGCUCACCAAGGCAACGAUCAGUAGCCGGACUGAGAGGUUGGACGGCCACAUUGGGACUGAGACACGGCCCAGACUCCCACGGGAGGCAGCAGUGGGGAAUAUUGCACAAUGGAGGAAACUCUGAUGCCAGCGAUGCCGCGUGAGGGAAGAAGGUUUUAGGAUUGUAAACCUCUGUUGACAGGGACGAUAAUGACGGUACCUGUUGAGGAAGCUCCGGCUAACUACGUGCCAGCCGCUGC
This 487-nucleotide ribosomal RNA is filed under the name uncultured bacterium. RNAcentral describes it as "bacterial SSU rRNA". It matches the Rfam family "Bacterial small subunit ribosomal RNA", at positions 15 to 518 of the family's 1533-position model. The record is from RNAcentral.